GGUGAAGAACGUAGCGAAAUGCGAUAAGUAGUGUGAAUUGCAGAAUUCCGUGAAUCAUCGAAUCUUUGAACGCACAUUGCGCCCCCUGGUAUUCCGGGGGGCAUGCCUGUCCGAGCGUCAUUGCUGCCCUCAAGCACGGCUUGUGUGUUGGGCCCCGUCCUCCGAUCCCGGGGGACGGGCCCGAAAGGCAGCGGCGGCACCGCGUCCGGUCCUCGAGCGUAUGGGGCUUUGUCACCCGCUCUGUAGGCCCGGCCGGCGCUUGCCGAUCAACCCAAAUUUUUAUCCAGGUUGACCUCGGAUCAGGUAGGGAUACCCGCUGAACUUAAGCAUAUCAAUAAGCGGAGGA
RNAcentral lists this unclassified non-coding RNA (346 nucleotides) under soil metagenome. RNAcentral's name for it is "partial contains 5.8S ribosomal RNA, internal transcribed spacer 2, and large subunit ribosomal RNA". The stretch from base 3 to 120 matches the Rfam family "5.8S ribosomal RNA", at positions 37 to 154 of the family's 154-position model. The record is from RNAcentral.